Molecule: ribosomal RNA, 119 nt
Filed under: Ricinus communis (castor bean)
Lineage: Eukaryota; Viridiplantae; Streptophyta; Magnoliopsida; Malpighiales; Euphorbiaceae
Source: RNAcentral
GGGUGCGAUCAUACCAGCACUAAUGCACCGGAUCCCAUCAGAACUCGGAAGUUAAACGUGCUUGGGCGAGAGUAGUACUAAGAUGGGUGACCUCUUGGGAAGUUCUCGUGUUGCACCCC